RNAcentral lists this transfer RNA (79 nucleotides) under Oryctolagus cuniculus (rabbit). It matches the Rfam family "tRNA". Rfam says of the family: Transfer RNA (tRNA) molecules are approximately 80 nucleotides in length. Their secondary structure includes four short double-helical elements and three loops (D, anti-codon, and T loops). Further hydrogen bonds mediate the characteristic L-shaped molecular structure. tRNAs have two regions of fundamental functional importance: the anti-codon, which is responsible for specific mRNA codon recognition, and the 3' end, to which the tRNAs corresponding amino acid is attached (by aminoacyl-tRNA synthetases). tRNAs cope with the degeneracy of the genetic code in two manners: having more than one tRNA (with a specific anti-codon) for a particular amino acid; and 'wobble' base-pairing, i.e. permitting non-standard base-pairing at the 3rd anti-codon position. The record is from Rfam by way of RNAcentral. Lineage: Eukaryota; Metazoa; Chordata; Mammalia; Lagomorpha; Leporidae.
GGUGUUGUGGCUUAGCAGGUAAAGCUGCCGCUUAUUAUGGAGUCCCGUGUGGGCACAGGUUCGAGUCCUGGCUGCUCCA